This 664-nucleotide ribosomal RNA is filed under the name Escherichia coli. RNAcentral's name for it is "partial 23S ribosomal RNA". It matches the Rfam family "Bacterial large subunit ribosomal RNA", at positions 609 to 1273 of the family's 2925-position model. Lineage: Bacteria; Pseudomonadati; Pseudomonadota; Gammaproteobacteria; Enterobacterales; Enterobacteriaceae. The record is from RNAcentral.
UGUAUAAUGGGUCAGCGACUUAUAUUCUGUAGCAAGGUUAACCGAAUAGGGGAGCCGAAGGGAAACCGAGUCUUAACUGGGCGUUAAGUUGCAGGGUAUAGACCCGAAACCCGGUGAUCUAGCCAUGGGCAGGUUGAAGGUUGGGUAACACUAACUGGAGGACCGAACCGACUAAUGUUGAAAAAUUAGCGGAUGACUUGUGGCUGGGGGUGAAAGGCCAAUCAAACCGGGAGAUAGCUGGUUCUCCCCGAAAGCUAUUUAGGUAGCGCCUCGUGAAUUCAUCUCCGGGGGUAGAGCACUGUUUCGGCAAGGGGGUCAUCCCGACUUACCAACCCGAUGCAAACUGCGAAUACCGGAGAAUGUUAUCACGGGAGACACACGGCGGGUGCUAACGUCCGUCGUGAAGAGGGAAACAACCCAGACCGCCAGCUAAGGUCCCAAAGUCAUGGUUAAGUGGGAAACGAUGUGGGAAGGCCCAGACAGCCAGGAUGUUGGCUUAGAAGCAGCCAUCAUUUAAAGAAAGCGUAAUAGCUCACUGGUCGAGUCGGCCUGCGCGGAAGAUGUAACGGGGCUAAACCAUGCACCGAAGCUGCGGCAGCGACACUAUGUGUUGUUGGGUAGGGGAGCGUUCUGUAAGCCUGUGAAGGUGUACUGUGAGGUAUGC